RNAcentral lists this long non-coding RNA (2531 nucleotides) under Salvia miltiorrhiza (redroot sage). RNAcentral's name for it is "long non-coding RNA (SMIL_LNC011488)". Lineage: Eukaryota; Viridiplantae; Streptophyta; Magnoliopsida; Lamiales; Lamiaceae. The record is from RNAcentral.
UGCAUUUGGAAAACUUAAUUUCAGUUAUCUUCCAAAAAUUUCUGAAAUCCCCUAACGAAGGGGAGUAGACAGAGGGGAGAUUUAGAGGGUGUUCGGCGGUGGCAGUGGGCUUCGUCUACUGCUGCUGUCCGCCGGAGACUUGGAAGGAGGAGGGGACGGUGGGCGCUCGUCACCGUUGGGCGAGGAGAAGCGUCGGAUCGGGCAGUCUAGUGAGAGAGAGAAAGAGAACUCUGAGGGAAGCGCGGUCGGUGGCGGCUUUCGCUGCUACUCGUCGGAGUAGAAUCUGGAAUUGAGGGCGGUGGUCUUGGAUUGGGGCUGCGUCUGCGUGUGACCUUUCUUCGUUUGGGGGGGACAAAUUUGUCCACUGAAGAGUAAUGGCAUUUUACUGUACAAAUGAGUAUAAUUAAGUGGCGGGGGACGGUGGAUCCAAUUUCUAAGAAGAACAGUAGAUUAGGUGCGGACCUUGGGUUUAUAGCGGGCCAUUGCUACUAUAUAACAAUCCUAUCAAACAAUCAGAAAUCUAUAGAAAUACUAAUUAUCUUGCCUAAUAACCCCUAUCAAACUAUUACUUCACACAAGAAAUUACCCAUCGCGGCAUAGACUAGAAUUUUGGGAAGGGGAAUCCCCAUGAUACAGGGGUUCAUUGCAUAACUCACCAUUAGGAAAACCAAAGCACUUAGAAAAGCCAAAUUCUCGAGAGACUUGCCACUUAUUAUGCUCCCAAUCAAGAUGGCCAUUAUCACAUUAAUUAUUAAAACAUUUAAAUGCCCAUAUCAGUAACACUCCAUCAUCACUACAAUGAGAUACAGAUGCAUCAUUUACCCUUUUACUGCUUGUUGUUUUUCUUUGAAGCAUCAAAUCAAUUUUAAACCACAAUUUGAGAACCAAUUAUAAAUCAUUGCAACCAAGCAAAAAUUCAGUUCAAGUAAGGAUGCUAGAAUUUAACCCCAUAGCUAUAAUCACUAUCAGCAAUAACUUAACAUCUUUCCCCAAUUAGUCCCAAAAGCCGCAGUCUCAAGCAAACCACAGCAAAUUGAGCGAAAUUUCAGUUACGUACAAGAGCUAAAAACAAAGUAAAUGGACCUCUGGACGGUGUCAUGCUCAGACACAUCACCUUCUUCCCCAUGAGCGACUCGAUGAAGCCAAUUUUGGCGUUGGAAAGCAGGCCCCAACACUGCCCUCUGAAUCGAAAAAAGCCUCUUGAUGCCUAUAUUUUUCAAAGCCAAUAUAAUCUGCGGCGAGAUCUCGAGCCCUUCAUCGGCGGGCGCGCUUGAGGCCCUGUCCGCAUCGGAGUAAUCAACCACAGCCAACCCAUCUCGCAAAACCUGGCCAGGAUGAAAACCCCUCGCCAAUUCGACGCUCGGAGAAACGUUAGGCAGCACUGAACCAGCUGCGCAAGUGCGAAUCUGUGCGCCAGAAACCGCAUUCCAACACCAGCAGGUUGAACAACUUAUGAUAAGACAGUGCAGUGCGCAUCACCUGGCUAGUCGGAUUCCCCCACGUCGACGGUUUGGACGAAUUUCCUUAAAUUCUCGAUAUUUCAUUUGUCCUUGCACCAGAAAUUGAACAAAUUCAGAAGAAAUCGUAAAGAAAAAAAGUAGAAAUUAAGAAAAGCCCUAAGAAAUGGACAUCUUCCCCAUCCUAUGCUCAAACUUCUUCCUGCAGCGAUUCGCCGCCUUGCUGUCUAAAUUUUGAUUAGGGUACCCGCUCGUGAUGUUUCAAUGCGACAUGGCCAGCGUUAGCUGCUGAUGGCAGAUCUCACCGAGAAUUAUAAGGAUUUUUAGGAGAAUGAUUCGAAAUUACAGGCGACCCGUUGGAGGUGGCGGCUGUUUGCGCGGUCAAAGAAGGCAGCGACCACUUUCCGAUCUGAGGUUAAAGCCGUAUCAGGGGGCGGCCAUUGGGACUCGCGCUGAACUUGAUUUUAGACGGGAGAUGAUGGAUGAAUUUCAGAUUAGCGAGAUAUUGCUGGUGGAAAAUGGUUUGUUAUUGAGACUGGCGAGAAUAUGAUAGAUCGAUGAAUGCCGGAGGAAAAGCGGCCAUCUUUGGAGAGAAAGCUGAAAUUGAUAUGGAUCGCCCAUUGUCGCCGGAAACUGGCAAAGAAACAGUCGGAAAAAGGAUUUAUGUUUUUUUUUUUUCGAUGAAUAGUAACCGGCAAAUAAUAAAAUACUCACGUCUUAGCUCCGUUUUCCCACAGACGGCGCCAGUUGGUAAAGCACGAAACCGACACCUAAACUAUAAAACAAUAAACGACGACACAAUAUCUACGUGGUUCGGUCAUCAAGACCUAAACAAUAAGCGACGACACAAUAUCUACGUGGUUCAUCCACGGGAGUUCUUCGAAUUUUUCACUAUAUUGAGAGCGUUUACAGAUUACAAAUCUUGAGUGAAUAAGAUAAGAUAAUCCUCUUAAUUCAUCCUAAGCUUCUAUUUAUAAGCAUGUAAAAUAAACCCUAAGGCCUUAAGCCCACCCUUAGAUAAUUGGGCCUAAAGCCUUAAGACAGUUUAUAGCUUUUAGCCUUCAAGGCCGAGAG